UUUGAUUCUUUUUUGAUUUUUCUUUUUAUCCUUCUUCUUUAAGGAGGAGGAGGAGGAGACAAUUUUUUUUCUUUUUCUUCCUCAUCUUCUUCUUCUUCUUCAUCAUCAUCUUCUUCUUCUUCUCUUUCUUCUUCUUGUUUCUUCUUUUUCUUCUUCUUCUCCUUCAUCAUCAUUAUCUUUUUCUUCUUUUUUUUUUUCCUUUUUUUGAGGAGGAGGAGAAGGAGGGACUAUUUCGUUGAUGGAAAGAAACGACAAUGACGUUUUAAUAGAUAUAAGAAAAU
Molecule: long non-coding RNA, 281 nt
Filed under: Manihot esculenta (cassava)
Lineage: Eukaryota; Viridiplantae; Streptophyta; Magnoliopsida; Malpighiales; Euphorbiaceae
Description: long non-coding RNA (MESC_LNC009861)
Source: RNAcentral